RNAcentral lists this unclassified non-coding RNA (233 nucleotides) under Hevea brasiliensis (rubber tree). The record is from RNAcentral. Lineage: Eukaryota; Viridiplantae; Streptophyta; Magnoliopsida; Malpighiales; Euphorbiaceae.
GGAUCCACUACCAUCUCCACCUCCUGUUGACAAAGAACUGAAAAUGAGUAAUCAAAUUCUAUAGUUCAUCAUCAGAACAAUAUAAACUAAAUGCUGUUUUGCUUCUCACUAUCCUAUAGAUAGUCCAUAUAAUCAUGCAGCCCAACUUACUUAUUAAGUUCCAACUGAGAAAUGCAGAUCAGGAUAAUACAGGGUUUUGCAAUUAGAGGUCAAUUUAGAUUGGAGAAUUUCAG